GGAGCAGAGGCGCCCCCGGGGGUGGGGGUCCCGCGGAGCUUGUGUGGUCUAAAAAAACUCCACGUUCACCAUAUACAUACAUACAUACAUACAGGUGCUUUCCUUCCCCGCCCCCGCACAGCUGAAGAAAAGAGAUUCCUAUAGCCUCUCCCAUGCGGGCUUCUGGUCUGACUUUUCGUUCUGACGCUCCUCUCCGCAAGCCUAGAAUUGUGUGAUCCCGUUUUUGACACGGUGGGAGAAGGAUUGCAUGGAAACGGCAUGCGGGACUGCCGUGUGCUGAGUACUUCUGGAAACUGAUUUCUUUCUAGCUGCCCAAGCGUGAAACAUUUUUUACCCCAGUGUUGUGGUCCAGUACAUGAAAAUCUUGAUACAGAUUGUUUUGAAAGCUUAAAGGCUGUAGUCUUUCUCAGCUCAUCUGAAAAACUCAAAAUACUUGAUGUCACUGUGAAAGAGCUAGGGCUGAUAUAAAAUUUUGCAAAUACCUUGUUUUAUUGACCUAAUAGAUAUGCUUCUAUGCUUUGUGU
Long non-coding RNA from Passer domesticus (house sparrow), 524 nucleotides. RefSeq lists it as uncharacterized. The transcript is spliced from 2 exons. The record is from RefSeq and is a predicted model, not a curated record. NCBI's taxonomy places the organism in Eukaryota, Metazoa, Chordata, Aves, Passeriformes, Passeridae.